Molecule: ribosomal RNA, 172 nt
Filed under: uncultured bacterium
Lineage: Bacteria
Description: partial 16S ribosomal RNA
Rfam family: Bacterial small subunit ribosomal RNA
Source: RNAcentral
ACUCCUACGGGAGGCAGCAGUGGGGAAUAUUGGACAAUGGGCGAAAGCCUGAUCCAGCCAUGCCGCGUGAGUGAUGAAGGCCCUAGGGUUGUAAAGCUCUUUCAACGGUGAAGAUAAUGACGGUAACCGUAGAAGAAGCCCCGGCUAACUUCGUGCCAGCAGCCGCGGUAAU